This is a long non-coding RNA of Apis mellifera (honey bee), 492 nucleotides long. RefSeq lists it as uncharacterized. NCBI's taxonomy places the organism in Eukaryota, Metazoa, Arthropoda, Insecta, Hymenoptera, Apidae. The transcript is spliced from 6 exons. The record is from RefSeq and is a predicted model, not a curated record.
AAUUCCUAUAGAGGGCAGGCUCGAUGUAACGAAUAAUGAAAAGUUAUUCUUGAAUAUAAGUAAACCAAGAUCUUCUUCUAUAUAAGGUACAUCAAAUCAGAAUCACAUUUUCAUUUUGGGUUUCUACAAGGAUAAUGGUAAGAGUUAGCUUAAAUCGUUAAAAUUAAAAACGUGCUUUGGGUGGCCUCUUGCAGAUCAACAUUUUAUUUCAAUUUUUAUGGAAAGAAUGGAAAUCAUAAGGUUUAUUGCAGUAAAAUUUAAUAAAUCUGUUUCUCAAAAUGGUGAAUUAUAACAUCAUUAUUAUUUGAUGACAUUGCAUAUAUACUUUUGGAAGUACAAGAAGAAAAUAUUUAUUAGAAACAGAACAAAAUAUUAAAAGUGAUCCCAAAAUUUGUUUAUUUGGAAUCUAUACAAAUUUAUUUUUAAAAUUUUGUAUGACAUGUUUUGAUUGAUUGUUAUGAUUGAUUUAAAAUAUAUAAUUUUAUAACUUAA